RNAcentral lists this long non-coding RNA (1169 nucleotides) under Equus asinus (donkey). Its description in RNAcentral is "lncRNA (ENSEASG00005028511.1)". The record is from RNAcentral. Lineage: Eukaryota; Metazoa; Chordata; Mammalia; Perissodactyla; Equidae.
AGAAGAGACAUAGACACACAGGGAGGAGACAGCCUUGUGAUGAUGAAGGCGAUGAUUGGAGUGAUGAAGCUACAAGCAGAGGUUCCUCCUGGAAAAGGAACGUAAAUCUUGUCAGUGCCUGAGGAUCGGAUACACACUGAAUUGUCUGACAACUUGGGGGUGGAAGGACACUCUAAGGAAGCCAACUACAGAGGAGCAGGACACAAAAAUUCAUUGUAAGAAAGAGGAACUAGUACUGACCUAUGGAAGUGUGACACAUACUGCUGGCUUUAUUCUUCCCUUCUUCCAUAGUAACGGAAAUGUAGCAAGGCACAGGGCUGACCGGCUAUGCGACCUUUCACCACCUUCUGUGCAGAAGAUGUGACUAAGUUCUCUCCAGUGAAGUAUGAUGGCAGUGAUGUGUCCCCUUCCCAGCCUGGUGUCUUGAGACCAGAUCAGAAGUGGUCAUACGGUUUUCCUUUCCCACUGGCUGCAACCCAGAUGGGAUGCCCUCUCAAAAUUGGACAAAGAAACAAGAUGGAGAGGACCCAGGUCCCUGGUUAAUUAUGGGGAGGCGAGCUGCCUGCUGAGCCAAUCUGUUGAGCUAUUGCAUUUUUGGGGUCCCUGAAGUUUAACCUUAUCCAAGGCUGGUAUAUUUCACAGAACUGCUAGAAGACAAAGAAAAUAGAGGAUGUGAUAACCCCAUGUAAACUAAAGUGUUUUACAAAUAGAUUAUGGUUGCCACAUAAUUGAAUGAGCCGUCAAUGAAAGCAACAAUUCCGAAAAACUAAAAAUAUUCUCCUGCCAAACUGAAUUACCCAGCCUAAUCUUACUACACUUAGCAAAUUAAACAAGGGUAAGAGACACGUUGCUGUCCAGGUGUUUGAUCUCAAUCCUCUCUUCUUGUCCACACCCCUCCUCUCUUUGGGGAGUCUUAAGAGGUGGUGGUCACAAGCCCUAGGGGCCACAUCCCAUCGCCCUGCUUCUGCACGGUCUCCAGCCUAAUAGGAGGAUGGCUGAAGGUCAUGUCCAUCACGCUGCAGGGUAUUCAGCAGCUGACCGGACUGUGCCUGCGGCCUGCCCUUUGCCUCCAAGAACCUUGGUUGAUGCCCCAGGCAAUUGUCAGCUCUCCACAUCUGAGCUUACUCACAGAGCAAACUUAAGCAAUUAAACAAUAUCUGUCUCGAGAA